RNAcentral lists this non-coding RNA (106 nucleotides) under Streptococcus mitis B6. RNAcentral's name for it is "TPP riboswitch (THI element)". It matches the Rfam family "TPP riboswitch aptamer (THI element)". From Rfam's summary of the family: Vitamin B(1) in its active form thiamin pyrophosphate (TPP) is an essential coenzyme that is synthesised by coupling of pyrimidine and thiazole moieties in bacteria. The previously detected thiamin-regulatory element, thi box was extended, resulting in a new, highly conserved RNA secondary structure, the THI element, which is widely distributed in eubacteria and also occurs in some archaea. The record is from RNAcentral. Lineage: Bacteria; Bacillati; Bacillota; Bacilli; Lactobacillales; Streptococcaceae.
UAUAUAAUAUAUGGGAGUCUGUGUACAGUCUGAGAGGAAGUGUUAAACUUCGACCGCACCUGAUCUGGGUAAUGCCAGCGUAGGGAACGAUACUUAGUCUAUUCUU